ACCCGGCUGGCUCAGUUGGUAGAGCAUGAGACUCUUAAUCUCAGGGUUGUGGGUUUGAGCCUCACAUUGGGCA
Cinclus cinclus is the source of this 73-nucleotide non-coding RNA. NCBI's taxonomy places the organism in Eukaryota, Metazoa, Chordata, Aves, Passeriformes, Cinclidae. The record is from the annotation of a RefSeq genome assembly.